GAUGAAGAACGUAGCGAAAUGCGAUAAGUAAUGUGAAUUGCAGAAUUCAGUGAAUCAUCGAAUCUUUGAACGCACCUUGCGCCCUUUGGCUAUUCCGAAGGGCAUGCCUGUUUGAGUAUCGUGAACACCUCAACUCUCAUGGUUUGCCAUGAUGAGCUUGGACUUUGGGGGUUUUGCUGGCCUUUGGUCGGCUCCUCUCAAACGGAUCAGCUUUCCAGUGUUUGGUGGCGUCACGGGUGUGAUAACUAUCUACGCCUGUGGUUUUCUGCCAUAUAACCUUCAGCGAUGGAGGUUCGCUGGGGCUCAUAAAUGUCUCUCUUCAGUGGAGACAGCUUUUUGGACGUUUGAUCUCAAAUCAGGUAGGACUACCCGCUGAACUUAAGCAUAUCAAUAAGCGGAGGA
RNAcentral lists this unclassified non-coding RNA (402 nucleotides) under soil metagenome. Its description in RNAcentral is "partial contains 5.8S ribosomal RNA, internal transcribed spacer 2, and large subunit ribosomal RNA". The stretch from base 1 to 121 matches the Rfam family "5.8S ribosomal RNA", at positions 35 to 154 of the family's 154-position model. The record is from RNAcentral.